RNAcentral lists this transfer RNA (69 nucleotides) under Cordylochernes scorpioides. RNAcentral describes it as "tRNA-Thr". It matches the Rfam family "tRNA". From Rfam's summary of the family: Transfer RNA (tRNA) molecules are approximately 80 nucleotides in length. Their secondary structure includes four short double-helical elements and three loops (D, anti-codon, and T loops). The record is from RNAcentral. Lineage: Eukaryota; Metazoa; Arthropoda; Arachnida; Pseudoscorpiones; Chernetidae.
GGGUAGCCUAGUGGACAUGGCAUCUGCCCGGUAAGCGGAACACUGUGGGUUCGAUUCCCACCCUGGGCA